UCAAUAAGCGGAGGAAAAGAAACUAACAAGGAUUCCC
This 37-nucleotide ribosomal RNA is filed under the name Eugenia arenosa. Its description in RNAcentral is "partial 28S ribosomal RNA". The record is from RNAcentral. Lineage: Eukaryota; Viridiplantae; Streptophyta; Magnoliopsida; Myrtales; Myrtaceae.